GCGACCCCAGGAUGGGCGAGGUCACCCGCUGAGUUUAAG
This 39-nucleotide ribosomal RNA is filed under the name Erycina hyalinobulbon. Its description in RNAcentral is "partial 26S ribosomal RNA". RNAcentral also lists the same sequence under 2 other names. Lineage: Eukaryota; Viridiplantae; Streptophyta; Magnoliopsida; Asparagales; Orchidaceae. The record is from RNAcentral.